AUGAGUUUGCCUUGCUCGGAUCAAAGCAUUAGGCCGAGGAAAAUGAAGAACGCAAGUUUGCCUCCUGGGGUGGCAGUCCUGCGAUGUUGGUGUGGCGAUCUUUGCAAGGUGAAGGAGGUGACGGAUUUUUCAGAUUGGUUGGGCAUGAAGUUUUUCAUGUGCGCCAAUUAUGAGGAAGAUCCUGCCGUAGCUAUUUCAGAGUACGACAAGCCUCCGUCUCCUCCGCCUCUGUGCAUGUACUAUCAUUGGAUUGACACGGAAAAGCCAGCUUGGGCAGUGACUGAGAUUCGUGAAAGAAGUCGCCGUGUGUGGAAUAGUUUAUUUGCGGAAGAGCGACGCGAGAAGGCGGAAGCUGAGGAGAAAGCAGAGCAAGAAAGAGAGUUAAAAGAAUACUAUGCGGAGCAACACCGUUUUUUUGAGGAAAUGGGAAAGAAAAACAGGGAAGAGGCUCGUCGCAUGGAGGAGCAGGAACGACAGCGAAAGGAGGCUCGUGAGGCAGAGAGGCAGAGAAAGAAAGAAAGGGCUCGUCGGGCUAAGGCAACAGAAGAAGCUGGCGAUGGAAAAGGAAAAUAUCCACGCUGGACUUAG
RNAcentral lists this ribosomal RNA (588 nucleotides) under Triticum aestivum (bread wheat). RNAcentral describes it as "partial small subunit ribosomal RNA". Lineage: Eukaryota; Viridiplantae; Streptophyta; Magnoliopsida; Poales; Poaceae. The record is from RNAcentral.